GACGAACGCUGGCGGCGUGCUUAACACAUGCAAGUCGAACGGAAAGGCCCUGCUUUUGUGGGGUGCUCGAGUGGCGAACGGGUGAGUAACACGUGAGUAACCUGCCCUUGACUUUGGGAUAACUUCAGGAAACUGGGGCUAAUACCGGAUAGGAGCUCCUGCUGCAUGGUGGGGGUUGGAAAGUUUCGGCGGUUGGGGAUGGACUCGCGGCUUAUCAGCUUGUUGGUGGGGUAGUGGCUUACCAAGGCUUUGACGGGUAGCCGGCCUGAGAGGGUGACCGGCCACAUUGGGACUGAGGUACGGCCCAGACUCGUACGGGAGGCAGCGGUGGGGAAUAUUGCACAAUGGGCGGAAGCCUGAGACGGCGACGCCGCGUGCGGAAUGACGGCCUUCGGGUUGUAAACCGCUUUCGCCUGUGACGAAGCGUGAGUGACGGUAAUGGGUAAAGAAGCACCGGCUAACUACGUG
This 468-nucleotide ribosomal RNA is filed under the name uncultured bacterium. Its description in RNAcentral is "partial 16S ribosomal RNA". It matches the Rfam family "Bacterial small subunit ribosomal RNA", at positions 28 to 507 of the family's 1533-position model. The record is from RNAcentral.